GGCGAGAUGGCCGAGCGGUCUAAGGCGCUAGAAUCAGGCAAAUAUGCUCAAAUCUAGUCUUUCGGGGCGGGGGUUCGAAUCCCCCUCUCGUCA
This is a non-coding RNA of Pterulicium gracile, 93 nucleotides long. Lineage: Eukaryota; Fungi; Basidiomycota; Agaricomycetes; Agaricales; Pterulaceae. The record is from the annotation of a GenBank genome assembly.